GGGUGAACGACGUUACUACGCAAUCUACCGGAUGCUCGACCUUUGGAGACUUACUCGCCUGUAGUAGAAGGAGUAAACGUGUUGCUUUGGGUUUUAGGUUUUGUUUGCGUUGUAGGAACGCGCAUGCAAAAAGGAAGUCCUAGGCGGAGGAACAGUGCUACCUAAAUUGGCAUGCAAACGGGAGACUAUGCGAAGCCUCGCAUCCUAUGGGGAAACAAUCACAUCACACAAAACAUAUAUCUUGAAAUAGAAAAAAUGCCACCAAGGGGCUCAAACAUUGCCUCCUAUCGAGGUCUUCCAGCUAAGAAACAGUAGAAAUAAAAGGGAAGAAGUAAAAUACCACACGGAUCAAGAUCCGAAGUUACAGCAAUUAAAGGAUAAGCGACCCUGAGAUUCUCCCAAGCUGAUGCCAUCAAAGAAAACCAAUCAGUACGGGAAAUCGGAAUAAACCUCCGGAGGGUAUCCCUGCGAGAAUAUGUGAGCCCUCACAAAAACUCAACAAAAGGGGUUAGGCAAACAGGAUGAAAUCAAAAGAUAACAAGGCCAUGGCAACACAAAGAACAGGUUAGAACAAAACGGAAUAAAAGCAGAUACUGUCACAUUCGCGACUGCUUCGCCUAGCGAAAGCCUAGCGAAGCUUCGCUGCGUGCUCGCCUAGCGAAGCGGCUAGCGAGCACCUGCGGGAUUUGGAUUUCCCAUUGGUACCUGCACGAUGUUAAAGAUUCCAGAUCCUAUGGCAUUCACCUCAUAAACGAAAUUGUUAAACAGUCAAGGCAUAAAUCACAUAUUCAUACACAAAUAUAACCCUGUGGGCCAAACCUGAGGUUACCUCAUAUAUUCAGUAUUCAAUCCGAGGCAUAGAGUAAUAGGAACAGAGGCAUACCUGAUGAGAGACCUGUUAAAAUUGGAAGACAAGGCCGGAUUGGCGAAGCAACGUUUAGGGUUUGCGUGAGGCGGAAUGAG
RNAcentral lists this long non-coding RNA (963 nucleotides) under Lathyrus oleraceus (garden pea). RNAcentral describes it as "Pisum sativum (pea) long non-coding RNA (PSAT_LNC029632)". The record is from RNAcentral. Lineage: Eukaryota; Viridiplantae; Streptophyta; Magnoliopsida; Fabales; Fabaceae.